This 41-nucleotide transfer RNA is filed under the name Channa gachua (dwarf snakehead). Its description in RNAcentral is "partial tRNA". The record is from RNAcentral. Lineage: Eukaryota; Metazoa; Chordata; Actinopteri; Anabantiformes; Channidae.
UUUGCAUACAGGAGAUGUGGGGUAAUUUCCCGCAAGUCUUA